CUAAUACAGAUUUAGACAGCAUUGUGAACAAUAUCUGAGAGAAAAAGGUCUUUGGUGUAUAUAGAAAAUGUUUCAGAUCUUUGAAUUCAGCUCAUGAAAAAUGGGAGCAAAAACAAAAGUAUUGGUUUUAUAUUUUUGUU
Molecule: long non-coding RNA, 140 nt
Organism: Thalassophryne amazonica
Lineage: Eukaryota; Metazoa; Chordata; Actinopteri; Batrachoidiformes; Batrachoididae
Exons: 3
Source: RefSeq, a predicted model, not a curated record